This is an RNA transcript of Bactrocera dorsalis (oriental fruit fly), 10272 nucleotides long. RefSeq lists it as uncharacterized. Lineage: Eukaryota; Metazoa; Arthropoda; Insecta; Diptera; Tephritidae. The transcript is spliced from 6 exons. The record is from RefSeq and is a predicted model, not a curated record.
CCCUUCUGUGUUUGGGUGUUUCAAUUCAUUCGCAACUGUCGCGCUGUACGGACGUAAAAUACGAACGCGGAAACGGAUACGCGGACCAAUACAUACAGAAUACAAAAUUUUUUCUUUCUUUCAAAAGAAAGAAAAUACUUUAGAAAUACCUUUCUUUCGGGACGGACGAAACAACAAACCGCAAACAUAUUUCAAUUAGAAAAACCAAUAAGUUUUUCAUAAAAGAAAAGUGAAUUUAUAUUUUGAAUGCGCAUUUAUAUGAGAAGUGUGUGAUGAUUCAGUGAAAAGUAGACUUUGCAAAGUGCAGAAUAGGAGUGAAAAAAAGUAGAAGUGGCUGCAGUGGUAGAAGUUGCAAAAGAAGAAGCAAAAAAUCGAAUUGUGGCGAAACGAAACGAGUGUAGUGUUAAAGCAGCAGAUAAAACAUAUGUAAAAGUUAAAACGUAAACCAGUUUUAUGAAAACGGACUGUUUUUCAAGCCAAGCUCAACUAAACAAUUUAGUAAAAACAAUAACAAUCAAUUGAACCAACCGGCCGACCAACUCCACUUGAUGCGACACCAUCAUUCAUUUCAAAUGUUGUAUGACUCAUAUCUCAUCAAGCAAAUCAUCAUUCUGGAGGAAUAAAACAGGUUCUUCGACUGUUUUCUAUUCAAUGCCAAUGGAAAAUUACGCUACCAAAUAAAUAAAAUGUUAAUUAUACAUUAAUAGCGGCAACAACACAAAAACUAAGAAAAAACGCAGGCGCAAACAACUGCAACUACAAAUAGCAUUAAGAGAGCACGAACAAUGCACAUGCACACAAACACACGAGUACACAGCAACAAAAUUGCCGCUUGAAGAAAUAAACAACAACGCGAGUGGCGGCUGAGACUGCAACGCGGCAGAGGCAAUAAAUCAGUGACAACAACGGCAAAAUGUUGACUGCAGUUUAUCAACAACAACAGCAGCAACAACAACAAGUGCAGAUAACUACUUACAACAACUUUAUAGAAACUAAAGCACAAGACGAACAUAAACGACGUCUCGCCACACGGCUGCUGCCAGAGCGACGCUAAGCAACGAGCAACGAGCACCGGCACCGGCAAACAAAGUGAACCUAUUACAAAAGUGUAAACAAAAAUACGAGCCGCAACAGCAAAAACAACAGCUAAGGUAAUAUACACGAAUCAGCGCUUUGACAGCAGCAGCAACAACAACAACACACGUUGCUUAUAUGCAUCCACAACCUAGAGUUAUUGUUGCUAUUGUAAACUGCGGAUUUUUUUUUUAUUUUUCUAUGCAACAACAGCGCAUUGCAAUUGCAGCGCUGCAUAGUAAGCGUACAAGCGUGAGCGUAAGCUGGAAGCAACCGAAUACCUGGCGCUGCUUAAUUGUUGCACGGCUUGGUGAACACUUUGUAGUGCAGCAACAGCAAGCAACAUCGUCAACACAGACCCGCUGAGGUCUUUACACAAGUGACAGCUGCAAUAACUUAAGCAUUAGCAGCAAAGCAACAACAACAACGAAGUAUACAUAUAUAAAUACAAUAGAUUUUUGUAAAAUAGUCAACGGCAGUGGCAGCUCACACAAUUAAAUUGCGCGGCGGUAAAACUAAUUGAACACUGUUGAACAGGUACAACAGAAGCAACAACAACAACUGCAAGAACGGCAGUGAUCACUAACUAACAACGCGCCACACCGUUGUCGUUACAAGUGGGCAGCGAUCCAUUUUGAUUGGCCGACGCCGCGCUGAUUGAGUGUCACAAAUAGCAGAAGAACGCAGCGCAAAGCAAAAGGCAAAAAGUUGCGUUCAUCCGCAUAGCAAAAGCAACAACGCAGUGCGCGCCUGUUGUCAACUAUAAUUGCAAAGCCAAGAAUUCGCGCGUUUAUUGCUUGUGUUGCCAUGCGAAGUUGCAACGACGCACAGCGAAAUAGUUGAAAUAGAAUAGCAUUACGAAGUGUAAGUGCACACACACACACACUCACAUACAUAUAAGCAGUUGUACAUAUAUGCAUUUUUACUUACAUAAGCGACUAUAUAGUAUAUGUAUUUAUAUACACAGCCGAUCUCGUUGUUGCAUUUAGUUUAAUGUUGCCGCAAUUGGAGCCGAGCACAGUAGCUUCGUAUUUUUUUUAGCUGUUUUUGACUUCCUUCAUUCGUUAUUUUCGCUUUAAGAGGACGCUUAAACACAAGCAAAAGAAUAUUUGCUACAAACUGCAGUUGCGGCGACAAAGCAUUGGCGGACAAUAAUCCACACAGUACCAACGGAAUUCACGAAACGCUGCACAACAACAACAACAAGAAUAGUAGCGCAUAAAAAGUUGCAAUUUAAACGCAACAGACAGACAGCAUUUUUCAUAGCUACCGGCGGCCAGCAACGCCUGCGAAUAAAAAGCACUUCAUUUGGCAUAGCAAACGGGUGUUUUUUGCUUUUGUUGUUGUUUGUACGCUUAUUUGUUGCCGCUAGAUUGCAUGCAAAAAGCAAAAGAAACUGCACGGUAAAAGAACAAACGCACGCCGAGUGGCGACAAACUGAAAGGAACUCGCCGAGCGUGACUGCAAAGUGUGCAGGCAUUAAAGCAAAACGGCGGAUCAGCUUGCCAGCAUCAAAAAAACUGCGAAAAAAGCAUAACAACAAUAGCGUACGUUGGCAACAAUAGCAUGCGCUAACGGUACAGCAGCCAUUUGCCUAAUGAAGCAUUAGAUAGAGCAACAACUGGCAAUUUAAAGCAAAAACAGCAACAAAACACAGACAGCGUUUGUAAGCGCAGCAUAAAGAAAUCACAUCAACAACAACGGCAAACAUGAACAGUGCAACGCAUUCACCAACAGCCGCUACGCCAUCGGCGGCGCAACGUGGCAGCGUGACAGCCAAUGGCCUUGAGUUAACCACAACACCGCCAGUAGCGCCGGCGCGGCACACGCGCCCCUUGCCCGCACAACGCGCGGCCGGCAGCGGUUGUGUCAGCGGCAAUGGUAGCAGCAACUCAUCCACGACCACCUCUUCGCCACCGCAAUAUAGUGAGGAUUUGCGGCGCGCCAAUAUGCCCACCACAUUGGAUUUACUGCCACGUCAAGGUAGCGUCUCCUCGACCAAGACCUGUGAAGUCGAUUUGGGCGAUGAAGAGCGUGACACUUUUUCGCCGGUAAGCACCGCCACCAGCAGCAGUGCGGACGAAUGCGCCGACGGCAGCAGUCCCAGUGAUACGGCCAUGCUUGCUGCCGGUGGUGGUGCUGAUAAUGUUGGCAGCACCAGCGCGCGUGCAAACAAUAGCGGCAGCAGCGCCUAUGAUAAUAAAGUGUACGAUGCUGUACAUUUGCCGACAGUAGCACCAACGCCAGCGGCGCGCAUGAAGGUGUCCAAUGGCAGUGGUGUUGGUGGGGGUGGUAGUGUUGCUGCUACAACUGGUGGCGGUAUUCAUUCCACUUCGAAGGAGGAGAAGCAGCGACAGAAUGAGGAGAUUGUUAUUAUGGAAACGUCGUCAAUUUCUUCAGAAACUGGCUCAUGGGAAUCGGUGUUUCCGCACGCCAACAGUAUUGCAGCAGGCAGCGUGGUGUCAACGGCCGCAGCGAGCGUACCUACUGCUGUUCUUAGCACCAUAGCUGCUGGCAAAGUGGCUGAGGUAAAUUAUCCAGCUUUUAGUACAGAAUUUUCUCAUGGUGAAAAUAAACUGCCGAAAGCAUCCUUCGAGCUGCCGCGGGAGCGCGAUAAAUGCGGCGCAGCAGAGCCGCAAGUUAAUUUACUUAAAGAGCCUGAUAUCGCGCCCUACCUGCGGGAGCGCACCUACUCGACAGGGGCGUCAGUAACUGCAGAUACCAGCUCGUUAUUCACUGGCAUCAGUGCACAUUCGCUGUUGCGUGAUCUGGAGAGGCGUGAGAACCCCAUGAAUUCUUCCGGGCAUAGCGCCUGCUUCAUUGACGCUUCUUCGCUGCGUGAUGAAGAUGAAGUGCUAUCCUUUCCAAGUCUGGAUGGACAGCAGUCGAAUGAGGAUGCUAAGGAUAUUGAAGAGCAUGUGGAAGAGCAGCCAACGAAAGUGACUGGAGGAGAAGAUGAAGAUUCACCUACUAAGAAACUUGAAUCAUUCCAUAAAGCAUUUGCCAAGUGCAAAGUGAAAUCUAAAGACUUGCCUGAAACUGCUGAAACAUUUGAUACAUCAAAGUCAAGUUCCAGUUCAAAUUCUGGUGCAGAUUCGCCGCAGAAACAAAUUUCGGUUGCCUCUGCCACAUCCACAAAUAAUCUCUCGGACGAGGAAAAACUUUGGAAACGUGAACACGAAAAUCAAAAAGCGCCACUGACUACCGAAGACAAGGACCCGGUUGGUAAGGCUCAACAAAUUGCUACCCAGCAGCAUAUCUCCACGCAAGAGGAUGCCACAGAGGCAUCAGUUUCAUUAGUCGCUGAUGCCGAUUCCUCGGACUCUUCGGAAAUCGUUAAGUUGCGCCGUGAACAAGAACAUAAACCACGACCGUAUAUUUUUCAGCACAAUAUGCAACAAUUUAGUAUUCAUCCUUUGGCGGUGAGUCCUAAAUUUUCGGUGCACAGCUCGACAGGUACCAGCAUUUCACAUCCAACUACAGUACAUGCAGCACACAAUGAUCUCAGCUACACAACCGACUACUCUUCAUCCAGUCCUGCGCCGAGCUUAGUUUGGUCCGAACACGAGCACCGUCCUAGUCUAAGCGGUCGUCCACAUGUCGAUGACUAUGACGGGCACACACAUAAGGCAUUUACUCAACCGGACACACCGCAUAACUCAAUAGCACACAUAGAGAAUGCCUCAAGCAAUAACUCUUCCAUACAUCGCGACUAUACAAUGUCUUCUUCAUUAUCGCACCAACGCGAUUCCGGCGCAUAUUGCAGCGAUGCCACAGACUCGCCAGUACCAAUGCCGCGCACGCCAAAACGUUCCAAGUUCGAUGAAGCAAAUCCCAUUAUAUCCGGUGGCGCUUCAAUCAAAGAUUUUGCGCCUAAGCAAUGCGAAAGCCCACCAGUGCAUCGGCGUUUGGAGUCGUGCCCCAUCGUCUCGGGUGGAUUUGCCUCGUUGGAUUUUGAACCAACACGUCCGCUGGGCGAUGAUGAUGAGGAUCAGGUAGAGUUGCGUUCACGUCCUAAGACACGUAAGCCUAUACCUGGUAUUGCAUCGUGGGUUGUGGAUAUGAGUGACUGUCGUACGGAGCGUCGUAAAAGCACCAGCUCAACUUCGAGCAUGGAAGCAUCUGCAAGUAAAUUUCGGGAACGUUCCGAUUCGACAAGUUCACAUAAGAGCGGUUGCGGCUUUUAUGUUUCCUUAGAUAAUAUGGAUGAUAAGCCCAAUAACGAUGAUCUCAAUAAAAAACCAAUGAAGCCACAGAUGAGUAAAUCAUACACGGCACCGAAACCGGCCGGCUUCUUUGUAAAUCUCUCGAAGAGUGAAUAUACAACGGCCGAUGAAGUAAAACCUGAAGAGCCAAAGUCAGAGGAAACAACGGCUGCAGAUAAGAAAAAUAUCUUUAGUAUGUUUAUAGAUAUAGGUGAGAGCAAGAAGCCUACUGGCACGCCAAGAAAGGAACCAUUUAGUUUAGCGCAACGUUUAUCUAGUUCGUACGCUUCGCACGCUGCUCAACGACGCGGCGAUGAUGUGAUGCGCUCCAGCGCAAGCUCGACGGAAACAUUAAUGGCAAAAAGCAGCAGUCUAAAGAUGAGUGCAGACAAUGAAUUAAGUGGGGAGAGUAAAUCGCUUGAUUAUAAGUGCAACCUUGAACCACCCAUCACAGUGGCGGCAAUACGUCGCCUAUCGCAGCAGCAACGCGCUCAAAACGACGCAACAAAGCGACAUUCGUGGGGAACUAAUGCAACAAAAGAAGGCGUUACGUGCGACUACAAACGCUCCAUUAGCCUAACAGCAAAUGGCGAUUCAAAAGAGAAUGGUGGUAAUGGAUUAAUGAGUAUCAUUGAUAAAAUACCGUUAAUAUCGAAAGCGUCCUCCUUGUCGGUGGACAGCUCGUUGUCGCCUUUCGACGAAUACACCGGUUCCAAGUCUGAAUUGAGCACAUGUUCAAACAAUUCGGCAAGAAACUCUGUGUCGGGUGGUGAGCGUGACGAUGAAGUUUUCCUCGCCGGUACUGGUGCCGCUAACGGUGGACGCGUCAAGAGACGACGUCGUGAUGUACAAAUCAACGAAACAUUUGACAAAAGUAGUUUGGCUUCCAUAACAGACGGUGUACUUUCUAAAGAUUUGUCGCCAGCAUCCACGACUGAUACCGAAGACUUGACUUUCCAGCAGGAUGAGGAACUGGCAAUGCGUGAGGCGGCACUGCAACAGCAGCAGCAGCUACAACAACAGGUGCCCUCAAAUCGCUCAUCGGCUAUUAUUAUGGAAACCAUAAUUGAGGCCAAAGAAACAUCCUCGCCUAAGAAAAAUGCCUCCGGUCACACCAUGGAGACUCUACAUGCAACCAUAGAGAAGCAAAAAAUGUUGCUCGAAACGGUGAAUGAGCAUGGCGAAGUUGAGAAGGGUACAUUUGUGAAACUGUCGGAUAUGGAUAAACCCGCAAAGUUCGAACUACAUUCGCCCGAAUCCAUGAGUAAGAGUGUGGGCAAUCAUCGUCAAAUCAAUCGGCUAUUUCGUGACGAUUCGAAAACGCGCCCUCACUCAUGGACCAUGACACGUUCUCAAGGCAAUAGUUUCCUCAGCAUAACUAAUUCGGUGGAGAACUUGCGCAGCUUGUCGCGUCUUUUCCCGAAUUUUUCGAAAGAGUUCUCCAACUCUUUGCCGAACGACAUUAUCUGUGAUCAAAUGGACUAUAUACAAACGGAUAUCAGCGGUGAUUCUAGUAUGGCUUCAAGUAUCAGUCGUUCCGGCAUGGAUGAGUCUUCCAUAUCGUGCCGUCAACCACGCCGAUUGGGUGAGGAUUUGUUGAAAAUGUUCCUGCAAGAGAUUGCCACAGACAUGAUCGUCGAAGUGCAUGGCCGCCGCAUAAAGGCGCACAAAUGCAUUCUACGCUCGCGCUGUCAGUAUUUUGCUGCUAUGUUGGCGGGUAGUGGUGCACAGAGUGUGGUCUCCCUGCAGGGUUACUCCUACUCGGCAGUACAUUUUGCAUUGUGUCACAUUUAUUCCGGCGCUUCGCAUCCACCCGAUGGUAUUAGUUUGAUGGAGUUGGCUGCUUUAGCUGAUCUGCUUGGCUUAGAGGGACUGAAGGAAGUCACUGCGCACGCCUUGAAGACGAACUAUUGUCACAAUUUUCACAAACCCUGCUCGGGUUGUAUCGAUGGCAUACUGCAGGUCCUGCCUGUGGCAUUGACUCACUCGUUAGAUGAUUUGUAUCGCAAAUGUUUGCGCUGGACUUGUCGCCACUACAUGAAAGUAUGGCCCACACGUCAAUUUGCUCAGCUGCCAGCAGACAUAUUGGGACGAUGCCGGCAGCAAAUUGUUGCUUACAUGACAUCGGAGAGCGUAUUGGACACAGUGCUCGAUUGUGAUAACUUGCUGACACAGUUGGCGACCUACCGCUGGGGUGGCAUUUGUGAGAGUCUUGUACGUGAUAUAUUAGACGCCGCCUAUACAUACAUUGCCGAUCACUUUGCCAGCCUGAUAGCGAGUGACUCCUUCCUAUCGCUCGGUCACGAUCGUAGCUGUCACAUACCGCGACUCGAGAGCGUACUAUUGCGCACAGCAUCGUCGCUCACACCGGAUCAGGCAUGUCGCAGUUAUCAGCGUGUGACACGCCUCAACACUGUGUUGCAGGCGAAAGUCAUACAAAUGCCGGCAAAUCUUGGUGAAUUGGCUAAGGAAUUGCAGGGCUUGCAAGAGGAAGACUUGGAUUGGGAUGCUGAAUACAUACGUUUGGUCAGCGCCAUACUGUCCGCAGUGGAGCAGUGUCUCAUACGACAGUGUUCGCGCGCUAUGCGUGUAACUGCUUGGCAACGUAUGGAUCUGGAUUUGCGUAAGAAGAUACAGACAUUGGCACGUCUCACCGAACCGAUGGAUCUGAAGCGCAGCAAGCCAGUGUCGAAAGCGUUCACAUUUAGUGGUAGCACACGCAACCAGGACCUGUAUCAGGUGAAGUUGGCAAUACAAGCGCAUUCAAAGCGCGCCAUGGCACAGGAUACACAACUCUAUAAGGCAACGCAGACUCAAGAGGCGGGAAAUGUGCAGACCACCGAGCGCGGUGUGCAGGCCAACAACGAUAUACGUGAAGGCACAAGUAAAAUUCUGAAAUCGAAUACCCGUGUCCAUGUGCCUCAAGCGCUGCGUGCUAGCUCACAGAGCGCUACAACUUCCGAACGCAACAGUUUAAACACACAUCGUCGCACACAAUCCGAAGCGCCAAUGCAUAUAAAUAAAGUCACCACAGCCGCACCAGCGUUGCCACCAAAACCUACCAGCGCCGAAGUGAAGAGCGACACCAGCAAGAAAAUAGCAGCACGUCUGUCUGAGGUGCGACCACGCUACCUAGAGCCACGCAAAGUGCAUGCGCCAGCAGGUUUUGGUAAUGGCCCUGUGCGUAGCGCCACAAGUUCUAGUAUACCGGCCACCACCAAAGGUAAAGGCCGUCAGAUCUCAUCUAGCGAUAGUUCGCGCACUUCCAGUCCAGCCACGCGUAAAACCGCCAACCAAAUCGGACGUAAAUCCAUUAAUAUGUCGCUGGACAGCUUGGCGUCGCCAUCGCGGCGUGGUCGCACCAUGCGUAUGAAGGCCACCGACAAUGCCGACCGUUUUUCGGAUCGUGGCGGUGAUUCGCUCGGCGAUAGCAUGAAAAGUUCGGUGAUGACAAAUAAAGCGAUAUCACAGGAAUCACUUUCGAGCAUAACCAAGCUGUCGCGUUCGAAUCCGCUCAUUGGCAACAGCGUCAAACAGUCGGCAGCUGUCGGUAGUAAGUCGCAAAACAGCAAGUUGACUAAUGGUAUUGUUAAGACGAAUCGCGCUGCAAGCAUCGGCACCAAACCGCCGAAGCAUUUGCAGCAACAAAAUAUAAAAUCAACCGGUUCGAGCCCCUCUUCGGUGACAACAACCAAGUCAGCCGCCAGCCGUCUCUCAUCCGUUUCAUCUACACACUCAUCACGCGAUAUGUUCAAAAAUCGUUCGAUAUCGAUGCCGGGUCAACCAGCGUCGCAAAGCACUGCUGGUGGUCAACAGACAUCUGGAGGUGGCCCGCGCCAUAGUUUCUUAUCGGCCAAAUCACGUGAGAUACUUGCCAAACGCGCGGAGAAAAACAAAUUACAGCAGCAACAACAACAACUACAACAAACCGCCAAUAGCUCCGGCGAUGAACGGAGCAAUACGAACGCCGUCCCUGCACCCACCAAUAACCAACAACAACAAAAGCAACAUCAUCCGCACACCGGUCCAAUACGUUCCGCCUCACACACAGCCGUCACAGCGACGUCAAAUGCCAAUUAUACGCGCAAUUCGCUACCAUCGAAUAUACCAACACGUCGCCCCAACUCGCUGCAACUAAAGAAAACAACAAAUAAUCAUCUUGUUAGCAAUAAAAAUAAUAAUACUGUCAAUCAAAUGGCACAUUUGAAUAAUAAAAACAAAAUCAUUAACGCCACCAAUGGUGUGUUGAAGGCAGCGCAUGCGGUCAAGCAGAAAAUCGAAUUGUUCAUCGAUACGUCCACGUCAGCGGCUGGUCGCGGUGACAAGACAACACCGCCACCAACGCAACCGACUCAGAAAAGCAACGACCAACAACAGAAACCGACACGUGUCGAAACGAAAUUGGAGCGUUCGAGUACGUUUUGCAAGGAGUCCUCCGAUAUGGAUAUCAAUGAGUUGCAGAUUAUUGAGUAGAGAGAGGAAGCUUAAUGCGACUUGGCGAAAGCUCAACCGCAAAUGAGGUGUGUUUACUACCAUACGAGCAAGAGGAUGAAUCUGCAAUAUUACCAAUCUGGAGGCUGACAACGCAAGGAACAGCUCUACGAACGCUUUGGUUAAAAGAACGACUCUAGUCAAUAAUGAUGGGAAAAUUGCUAGCUAUGAAAGACAAAUUUAAAAUGAUGGUAUAUACAGAAAUUGAGAAAAAUAUUCUUAUAUACAAUAAUUGGAAAUUUGGAAAAAUAUAUAUACUUACACGUAGUUGUCAAUAAUCUAAAAUUUGCAUAAACCUGGACGUAACAGCAACUUUAAUCAAAACUGACCGAAAGCCGUUAAAAAACCUAAAAACCAUGCAGUAGCUACAUGCAAUAAUAGUUAUUCGUAUAUAGUACCUAUUUGCAUACCUACCACAAAUUUACAUACAUACACAGCAUAAUAGUUGAUGGCGAAGUAAAAAUUGUUAUUUGAAGAACAAAUAAAUAUGAAAAUUAGUAGU